GACGAACGCUGGCGGCGUGCUUAACACAUGCAAGUCGAACGGAAAGGCCCUGCUUUUGUGGGGUGCUCGAGUGGCGAACGGGUGAGUAACACGUGAGUAACCUGCCCUUGACUUUGGGAUAACUUCAGGAAACUGGGGCUAAUACCGGAUAGGAGCUCCUGCUGCAUGGUGGGGGUUGGAAAGUUUCGGCGGUUGGGGAUGGACUCGCGGCUUAUCAGCUUGUUGGUGGGGUAGUGGCUUACCAAGGCUUUGACGGGUAGCCGGCCUGAGAGGGUGACCGGCCACAUUGGGACUGAGAGACGGCCCAGACGCCUACGGGAGGCAGCAGUGGGGAAUAUGGCACAAUGGGCGGAAGCCUGGUGCAGCAACGCCGCGUGCGGGAUGACGGCCUUCGGGUUGUAAACCGCUGUCGCCUGUGACGAAGCGUGAGUGACGGUAAUGGGUAAAGAAGCACCGGCUAACUACGUG
This 468-nucleotide ribosomal RNA is filed under the name uncultured bacterium. Its description in RNAcentral is "partial 16S ribosomal RNA". It matches the Rfam family "Bacterial small subunit ribosomal RNA", at positions 28 to 507 of the family's 1533-position model. The record is from RNAcentral.